UUCAAGUUCAACGCAGCGUCCGCAGCU
RNAcentral lists this non-coding RNA (27 nucleotides) under Rattus norvegicus (Norway rat). The record is from RNAcentral. Lineage: Eukaryota; Metazoa; Chordata; Mammalia; Rodentia; Muridae.